GACGAACGCUGGCGGCGUGCUUAACACAUGCAAGUCGAACGGAAAGGCCCCCAUCUUGGUGGGGGUGCUCGAGUGGCGAACGGGUGAGUAACACGUGGGUGAUCUGCCCUGUACUUCGGGAUAAGCUUGGGAAACUGGGUCUAAUACCGGAUAGGACCAUGGUUUAGUGUCUCAUGGUGGAAAGAUUAUUGUUUUGGUGCAGGAUGAGCUCGCGGCCUAUCAGCUUGUUGGUGGGGUAAUGGCCUACCAAGGCGUCGACGGGUAGCCGGCCUGAGAGGGUGGACGCCCCCAUUGGGACUGGGAUACGGCCCAGGCUCCUACGGGAGGCCGCCGUGGGGAAUAUUGCACAAUGGGCGCAAGCCUGAUGCAGCGACGCCGCGUGGGGGAUGACGGCCUUCGGGUUGUAAACUCCUUUCGUUAGGGACGAAGCCGCACUUUUUUUGGGUGUGGUGACGGUACCUUUGUUAAGAAGCACCGGCUAACUACGUG
RNAcentral lists this ribosomal RNA (489 nucleotides) under uncultured bacterium. Its description in RNAcentral is "partial 16S ribosomal RNA". It matches the Rfam family "Bacterial small subunit ribosomal RNA", at positions 28 to 507 of the family's 1533-position model. The record is from RNAcentral.